GGGUAGUUUGACUGGGGCGGUCUCCUCCUAAAGAGUAACGGAGGAGCACGAAGGUUGGCUAAUCCUGGUCGGACAUCAGGAGGUUAGUGCAAUGGCAUAAGCCAGCUUGACUGCGAGCGUGACGGCGCGAGCAGGUGCGAAAGCAGGUCAUAGUGAUCCGGUGGUUCUGAAUGGAAGGGCCAUCGCUCAACGGAUAAAAGGUACUCCGGGGAUAACAGGCUGAUACCGCCCAAGAGUUCAUAUCGACGGCGGUGUUUGGCACCUCGAUGUCGGCUCAUCACAUCCUGGGGCUGAAGUAGGUCCCAAGGGUAUGGCUGUUCGCCAUUUAAAGUGGUACGCGAGCUGGGUUUAGAACGUCGUGAGACAGUUCGGUCCCUAUCUGCCGUGGGCGCUGGAGAACUGAGGGGGGCUGCUCCUAGUACGAGAGGACCGGAGUGGACGCAUCACUGGUGUUCGGGUUGUCAUGCCAAUGGCACUGCCCGGUAGCUAAAUGCGGAAGAGAUAAGUGCUGAAAGCAUCUAAGCACGAAACUUGCCCCGAGAUGAGUUCUCCCUGACUCCCUGAGAGUCCUGAAGGAACGUUGAAGACGACGACGUUGAUAGGCCGGGUGUGUAAGCGCAGCGAUGC
Molecule: ribosomal RNA, 627 nt
Filed under: Escherichia coli
Lineage: Bacteria; Pseudomonadati; Pseudomonadota; Gammaproteobacteria; Enterobacterales; Enterobacteriaceae
Description: partial 23S ribosomal RNA
Rfam family: Bacterial large subunit ribosomal RNA
Source: RNAcentral